CGGAGGGUGCGAGCGUUGUCCGGAAUCAUUGGGCGUAAAGGGCGCGUAGGUGGCCCGGUCAGUCCGUGGUGAAAGCGCGGGGCUCAACCCCGCGUCGGCCAGGGAUACUGCGGGGCUGGAGCACUGUAGAGGCAGGCGGAAUUCCGGGUGUAGCGGUGGAAUGCGUAGAGAUCCGGGAGAACACCGGUGGCGAAGGCGGCCUGCUGGGCAGUGGCUGACACUGAGGCGCGACAGCGUGGGGAGCAAACAGGAUUAGAUACCCUGGUAGUCCACGCCGUAAACGAUGGGCACUAGGCGCUUGGGGGAGCGACCCCCCGAGGGCCGGCGCUAACGCAUUAAGUGCCCCGCCUGGGGAGUACGGCCGCAAGGCUG
This 372-nucleotide ribosomal RNA is filed under the name uncultured organism. Its description in RNAcentral is "bacterial SSU rRNA". It matches the Rfam family "Bacterial small subunit ribosomal RNA", at positions 526 to 896 of the family's 1533-position model. The record is from RNAcentral.